UGGAGGAGGAUUCACCGGCCAGGUGCUGAAUGUGAACUGGGAUAGAUACGCCUAUCUGCACAUGAAGCACGAUGCAGAAGCAGAUUGGGUGGCGGAGGGUUGUUUGGAAUGUGGACGCGAUUGUGGGUCAGGAGAUGACAGUUCCUUCACAAUUUAAAAGAGAGAGGAGGAAGGAGAUUACGACUGAAACAGGAUAGAGACGUAAAGUCAAAAUGCGUCCAGGUUCAGUGAAUCCAGUGUAGGCGGUGCGAAGAGGCUAAAGAAGAGGAUCAUCACGAACUAAACAGCUGCUCGUCGCGGUUGACUUUCAUGGAUAUUUUAGAGGGAUGAUGCUACAUGCAUGCUGUGCUCGAGUGGACUUUAAUAUUUAAAUUAUCAUGAGAGCGAGACGAAUGGGUUUUCUAAUGGAAAAUGAAUUUGUUAAUCAGGGUGAGAGAGGAUCGCAUUCCAGAGUCCAGAGUAAUAAAAUGUUUCCAAACACAAGGAAGCCUGUGCUGAUUCCACACCAACUCGAUCGUGCUGAUCCAUGUGCUUAUUAGCAAGUUAUGACAGCUUUUUGAUCUGCAAUUUUGCUCUCAUACGCUUAGAGAUCACCUUUGAGAAGUUGACAAGGCAAUCUCCAUGCACUCUCUACAAUGAGAUCUUGGAGGAAUAUUGCGAGGUUGGGAAGAACUUCAUAGAUCAUCCGGAUCAGGCCCAUUGCAAGAGGUCAUACCGAGGCAGAGUUGAUACCGAGUGAGCAUCUCAAGGGUAUGGUUAUCCAUUCAAAAAAAAGGGGUAAGGAAAACCUCCAAAAUUUGUGUUGAAGACCGAUGAGAAGAAGGCCCCUUUGGCCCUUUCCUCCUCGUCUCCCGCGUGGAUGCCAGAUGAAGGACAUGGUUAUUUCAACAGAGGAGACAUAGAAAAAAUAAAUAUAUAUAAAGGGAAUCGAAGUAAUGGAGCACUGUCAUGUUGAAUGGCUUCAAGUUCUAUCCAAGGGGCGCGGAGAAAGAUUCACCUCCCGUCACAAGAACUGGGCCUACCUCCAACUCUUCCAGCUAGUUGACUCAACUGAAACUGUACGUGAUAAUCUGCCACUAAAACAGGUUGGAAACGGAUAAGCACUCUUCCUUGGAAUCUUGGAUCUGCGGUGGAUUCAUACAAAAUCAUUGGUUAUCCUGUUGAGAUCUACUCUAAUUCUCUAAAUUAUUAGUUUAUAAUUUUUAGGGUCAUUAUUGGUUUUUAUUAACAUAGCCCAGAACAAAUAGAGCAGGGUAGCUCCAUACAGCUUCGCCCCUGCUUAUAGGAUACACAUUGCAUAUAUUUUUAUAUAAUGGA
Molecule: long non-coding RNA, 1317 nt
Organism: Oryza brachyantha (malo sina)
Lineage: Eukaryota; Viridiplantae; Streptophyta; Magnoliopsida; Poales; Poaceae
Exons: 5
Source: RefSeq, a predicted model, not a curated record